UACGUAGGGAGCGAGCGUUACUCGGAAUCACUGGGCAUAAAGGGCGUGUAGGCGGGUGCGUAAGUCCGGCGUGAAAUCCCUCGGCUCAACUGGGGAAUGGCGUCGGAUACUGCGUGUCUGGAGUGUGGGAGGGGAGAGUGGAACUCUUGGUGGAGCGGUGAAAUGCGUAGAUAUCAAGAGGAACGCCGGUGGCGAAAGCGGCUCUCUGGCCCACUACUGACGCUGAGGCGCGAAAGCUAGGGGAG
This 245-nucleotide ribosomal RNA is filed under the name uncultured bacterium. RNAcentral's name for it is "partial 16S ribosomal RNA". It matches the Rfam family "Bacterial small subunit ribosomal RNA", at positions 524 to 768 of the family's 1533-position model. The record is from RNAcentral.